ACAGCUGGGUGGGACAGAAAAUUUCGCUACCCUGCCUUCUACCCGCCCGAGGGCGCAGGCUCUUUCCGGGGUGCUGUGGCGGCUGCAGCAAGUGGAGGAAAAGAUUCUCCAGGAAUCUAUGCGAAAGUCAUUUCCCCUUAACCUGGGAGGCAGCGACACAUGUUACUUCUGUAAGAAACGUGUGUACGUGAUGGAACGGCUGAGCGCCGAGGGCCACUUCUUCCACCGGGAGUGUUUCCGCUGCAGCAUCUGUGCCACCACCUUGCGCCUGGCCGCCUACACCUUUGACUGCGAUGAAGGCAAAUUUUACUGCAAGCCUCACUUCAUUCACUGUAAAACCAAUAGCAAACAACGGAAGAGACGGGCAGAGUUGAAGCAACAAAGAGAGGAGGAGGCAACAUGGCAAGAGCAGGAAGCCCCUCGGAGAGACACUCCCACCGAAAGUUCUUGCGCAGUGGCCGCCAUUGGCACCCCAGAAGGCAGCCCCCCAGGUAUCUCCACCUCCUUCUUUAGGAAGGUGCUGGGCUGGCCCCUCA
RNAcentral lists this small RNA (536 nucleotides) under Pan troglodytes (chimpanzee). RNAcentral's name for it is "processed transcript". Lineage: Eukaryota; Metazoa; Chordata; Mammalia; Primates; Hominidae. The record is from RNAcentral.